GACUUGAAGAGCAACACGUGCUGAUGGCUGCAUGACAUUCAACUUUGUGAGGCAAGCUUGGAUGCAGCAGAGCAGCUCUGAUCCCAGCUGUCUCAGGGAUGGAGGCCAGAGGACAAAGCCUAUGGAUGGAGGGUGUGGAAGAUCUCUGACUAGAUUACUGGGAUGACCAGUGAAAGAAAGGCUUUUAUCUCUCUACAAAUCCAGGCAAAGUUCAAGAAGCACAACUUCACUUAAACUACAGUUUAAUAAAAAAACAAUACCUAACAGACAGCACUGAUCGCUACAAGACUGGUACAGCUUUACAUUACUAGGCUUUGCCACAAAGGACAAACAACAAUUGCCCAGACCAGCAGCAGUACAACAGAGAGCAAGACAUGGAAUUGCUGGAGGACAACACUAGUUUUCCAAAGAGUGAUCUCAAAUGCAUCAGAAAGCAACUAUUUGAAGAUUUUAUUUCCAAUUUGCAGUGCCGUUUUCCUUAUCUGUUACAAUGAACUCUUCCUGAAAAAUAAGGUCAUGAGGAAAAAGAAGACAUUCAUCUGCAUUACAUCUCCUGCAACUCAUGGUGAUUGAAAACUUCAGCCUAUAUUUUUCACUGCAAAUAGAAGUUGAUGCCCAGUCAUCAGGACAAUUCCUGAGAGAUAGUGUUCUGGUUCUAUAGCACUACUUGCAAGAGAAGAGCCAGCCUGAACUGAAAUAGGUUUCUUCACACCUUCCAGGGACUGAUGAAUGCAUCUUGAUGUAAUGGCCUGAAGGAAGAAGGAGGAAAAAAAGCCAAAUCCAGUUCCCAUCUGUUUCCCUAAAUGAAAGGGAACAAAAACCCCACACAUAUGCAGAACAUAUUCAGAAGUCUGCAAAUUUUAUGCAUCUUGAGAUGACAGAUUACAGACCUAAAUAACUAGGGGGCAAAUGAGCAGCUGUGAAAGUGUCCAUUGUAGACAAAACAUUAGCAAGUACUUUAGUCAUGUUAUAUUGUACAAAAUGUCAGAAAGACAAAGAUAAGAGAUGAAUUGAAAGAAAGCACUAGAAGCACUAUAGAUUAGACUAUGGCUGCCCUCUUUAUCCAAAUCUUAGUUAUGAGAAGACUCUAAGCAAUUACAAAGAGCUUGUAGUUUACCCUCAUUUCAGUAUUUUCAGAAGAUGGCUUAGACAUAAAACUUACACUCUAUUCUUCAAUGAUUCCCUACCUUUCAACACUGUAAUUGCUUCUCCUAAGAUUAAGCCUUUCCUGUAAUCUUUGCUUUGACUAAGAAUAAAAAUAAGCCAGUACAAAAAUGACUUGCAGGUUUUUUUGAGACAAAUAUGUGCAAGCAUCACAGCACUACUGACUGGUACCAGUCAAUCCUUGAGGUUUUCUUAAAUGUUAUUACCUUAUACAAGCCACGUAUGCCCUCUGUCCUGUAUAUCUUUAUAAGAGCAUCAGACAUUCCUGCGUACUGUCGCUUUGAGGGAUCAACACCAGCGUCGUAUUGUAAUACAAGUCGCGUCUUCGUUACCCAUAUUGGGUUUGUAAUACAGAGAGUCAUGGCUCCUGAGAACAGAUGGAAGUUAGACUGUUUUGCCCAUGCCAAAGCUUGUCCCAGUUUGUUCAGUUCAAUGUAACACGGGCUUCUACAAUGACAAAAUUACUUAUCCUUCAAGAGUACUCAUAUUACUCCUAAGAGGCAAAGUUUAGGCACACUGUUGUUUUCUCUCUCUGCCUUCAAAGCUCAA
This is a long non-coding RNA of Lagopus leucura (white-tailed ptarmigan), 1713 nucleotides long. RefSeq lists it as uncharacterized. The transcript has 2 exons. NCBI's taxonomy places the organism in Eukaryota, Metazoa, Chordata, Aves, Galliformes, Phasianidae. The record is from RefSeq and is a predicted model, not a curated record.